This 401-nucleotide ribosomal RNA is filed under the name Alcaligenes sp. 4CBU. Its description in RNAcentral is "bacterial SSU rRNA". It matches the Rfam family "Bacterial small subunit ribosomal RNA", at positions 380 to 774 of the family's 1533-position model. Lineage: Bacteria; Pseudomonadati; Pseudomonadota; Betaproteobacteria; Burkholderiales; Alcaligenaceae. The record is from RNAcentral.
AACCUGAUCCAGCCUCCCGCGUGUGCGAUGAAGGCCUUCGGGUUGUAAAGCACUUUUGGCAGGAAAGAAACGUCAUGGGUUAAUACCCCGUGAAACUGACGGUACCUGCAGAAUAAGCACCGGCUAACUACGUGCCAGCAGCCGCGGUAAUACGUAGGGUGCAAGCGUUAAUCGGAAUUACUGGGCGUAAAGCGUGCGCAGGCGGUUCGGAAAGAAAGAUGUGAAAUCCCAGAGCUUAACUUUGGAACUGCAUUUUUAACUACCGGGCUAGAGUGUGUCAGAGGGAGGUGGAAUUCCGCGUGUAGCAGUGAAAUGCGUAGAUAUGCGGAGGAACACCGAUGGCGAAGGCAGCCUCCUGGGAUAACACUGACGCUCAUGCACGAAAGCGUGGGGAGCAAACA